This 75-nucleotide antisense RNA is filed under the name Streptomyces sp. NRRL F-6491. Its description in RNAcentral is "ASpks sRNA". It matches the Rfam family "ASpks TB sRNA". The record is from RNAcentral. Lineage: Bacteria; Bacillati; Actinomycetota; Actinomycetes; Kitasatosporales; Streptomycetaceae. RNAcentral also lists the same sequence under 1 other name.
CUUCAGCGAGCCGAGCCACAGCGGCCCCUGGUCGCCGCGCUCCUGCCCGUACGUGGCGAGCAGGGCCUCCGCCUC